GAAUAUUGGACAAUGGGGGGAACCCUGAUCCAGCCAUGCCGCGUGUGUGAAGAAGGCCUUUUGGUUGUAAAGCACUUUAAGCGAGGAGGAGGAUACCCUAGUUAAUACCUAGAGAUAGUGGACGUUCCCGGCAGAACAGGCACCGGCUAACCCUUUGCCAGCAGCCGCGGUAAUACAGAGGGUGCAAGCGUUAAUCGGAUUUACUGGGCGUAAAGCGCGCGUAGGUGGCCAAUUAAGUCAAAUGUGAAAUCCCCGAGCUUAACUUGGGAAUUGCAUUCGAUACUGGUUGGCUAGAGUAUGGGAGAGGAUGGUAGAAUUCCAGGUGUAGCGGUGAAAUGCGUAGAGAUCUGGAGGAAUACCGAUGGCGAAGGCAGCCAUCUGGCCUAAUACUGACACUGAGGUGCGAAAGCAUGGGGAGCAAAC
This 423-nucleotide ribosomal RNA is filed under the name uncultured bacterium. Its description in RNAcentral is "bacterial SSU rRNA". It matches the Rfam family "Bacterial small subunit ribosomal RNA", at positions 359 to 773 of the family's 1533-position model. The record is from RNAcentral.